Molecule: ribosomal RNA, 253 nt
Filed under: uncultured bacterium
Lineage: Bacteria
Description: partial 16S ribosomal RNA
Rfam family: Bacterial small subunit ribosomal RNA
Source: RNAcentral
UACGUAGGGGGCGAGCGUUGUCCGGGAUUAUUGGGCGUAAAGCGCGCGCAGGCGGUUUUUUAAGUUCGUGGUGAAAGACCGGGGCUCAACCCCGGAGCGUCCGCGAAGACUGGAAGACUGGAGUGUCGGAGAGGAGUGCGGAAUACCUGGUGUAGCGGUGGAAUGCGUAGAGAUCAGGUGGAACACCGAUGGCGAAGGCAGCACUCUGGCCGAAUACUGACGCUGAGGCGCGAAAGCGUGGGGAGCAAACAGG